Cinara cedri is the source of this 596-nucleotide non-coding RNA. The record is from the annotation of a GenBank genome assembly. NCBI's taxonomy places the organism in Eukaryota, Metazoa, Arthropoda, Insecta, Hemiptera, Aphididae.
AAAACUAAAAGCGAAUUACAAAAUAACAUCACCCGAGACCAAAUUACUAAUAACAAUAAGUAUACAAUUUUGUUUUUAGUUUAUGGAGCAAUGAAGAUUAUGGUUUUACUAAGAUUUUUGUUUUUGUUUUAUCUAUGCGCAAAUUUUUAUGCUUUGAUUUUUAAAUGAACCACUUUUUUUGAAAGAAAAUCGGUAUGAGGAGGUACUCUAAGUAGGAAAUUUUUCAAUUUUUUCGGGAGUUUUCUCAUACAAUUUAAAAAACCGAAUAAAAACGGAGGAAAAAUGUACGAAAUUUAUUAUUAAAAUAUUAUGAUUUUUAUUUCAGUGUACAACUUUUAUACCAACAAUUUUGCUCAGAUUUACAACGAUAGCACUCUUUUUCUAUAAGCAAAUCUGACCGUAUUCAUUUUUCGAUUUUCCCAAGAGUUUUCCCAGCAAAGGUGAAAAACCGGGGAAAAACAUGGGAAAACCGGGAAAAACGUAGGAUAAUCGGUACAACAUUAAACAAAAAUUAUUAAAGAAAAUACAUAAUGCCUAUUUAAUUAUUUUACCAUAAUACGGCAUGUACAUAUAUUCUCAAAGCAUUACUAUCAACU